UGAACGCUGGCGGCGUGCCUAACACAUGCAAGUCGAACGAAGCGUCCCGCCCGAAGAAGAGGAGUGCUUGCACAAUUCGGAUUCAAUUGGGAUGACUUAGUGGCGGACGGGUGAGUAACGCGUGGGUAACCUGCCCUAUACAGGGGGAUAACAGUUAGAAAUGACUGCUAAUACCGCAUAAGCGCACACUACCGCAUGGUAGAGUGUGAAAAGCCGAGACGGUAUAGGAUGGACCCGCGUCUGAUUAGCCAGUUGGCAGGGUAACGGCCUACCAAAGCAACGAUCAGUAGCCGGCCUGAGAGGGUGAACGGCCACAUUGGGACUGAGACACGGCCCAAACUCCUACGGGAGGCAGCAGUGGGGGAUAUUGCACAAUGGGGGAAACCCUGAUGCAGCGACGCCGCGUGAGUGAAGAAGUAUUUCGGUAUGUAAAGCUCUAUCAGCAGGGAAGAAAAUGACGGUACCUGACUAAGAAGCUCCGGCUAAAUACGUGCC
RNAcentral lists this ribosomal RNA (495 nucleotides) under uncultured bacterium. RNAcentral describes it as "bacterial SSU rRNA". It matches the Rfam family "Bacterial small subunit ribosomal RNA", at positions 30 to 509 of the family's 1533-position model. The record is from RNAcentral.